Frankliniella occidentalis (western flower thrips) is the source of this 752-nucleotide long non-coding RNA. RefSeq lists it as uncharacterized. The transcript is spliced from 4 exons. NCBI's taxonomy places the organism in Eukaryota, Metazoa, Arthropoda, Insecta, Thysanoptera, Thripidae. The record is from RefSeq and is a predicted model, not a curated record.
CGGCUCGACCCCCCGCACUCGGGACGCAGCCUCCGCUCGGAGUGGACUGGGACGCGCGGCCCGUCACCGGGACCAGGACCCGUGACGGGGAAUGCCGCCGGGGGCGUGCACCGCGACUGUCGGCGGGACCAGGGCGGCCGCUAUGGAGCUGUCACCAGGACCGCCCACAGGACAGCGUCGAGAUUGUCACCCCGGCUGAGCUGUUCACCACCGACCACCUCCGGUUGGGAGAACUUGGUCUCGGCUAUUGGACAUGAAGCCUACUUGGCGGUGCGUAGCGAGAGCUAGCCUGUCCGCUGGAGCGCCAAUGGGCCCUGGUCGCCACCGUUCGCCCGGAAAUCACUAUGAGCGGCGCUCGGAAACGAACUGCAUGGCCGCCGACGAUUGGCGACGAGCGUGGCGCGCUCCGAUUGGCCUGCCGGACGGACCGACAGGAAGCGAGUACUUCCGGCCGCCCGCCCGCCCCCUCCGCUGGUGCUGGUUAGAUGAACCGAUGAGCCCGUCUUGCAAGAUGCAAAUAAUUUUUUAAAGUAACAAAUAUGUCACGGAUCUUUAAAUUUUCUGAUUUAAUAUUUGCAUCUUGCAAGAUAAAUGCUUCACCAGAUGCCCGGAGCUUCGGAAAACAACUGCGCCUAGUCAAUAAGAGUGCAGGACGCUCAUGUGCGGUGAAGACUCAGCUGAAGGAUGGAAGGAUAACACGUUAGUUGUAGAGUAAUGCGAAUAGUUACAAUAAAAGUUUUGUACAACUAUAA